AGGAAAAGAAACCAACAGGGAUUGCCCUAGUAACGGCGAGUGAAGCGGCAACAGCUCAAAUUUGAAAUCUGGCGCAAGCCCGAGUUGUAAUUUGUAGAGGAUGCUUCUAGGUAGCGACCGGUCUAAGUUCCUUGGAACAGGACGUCAUAGAGGGUGAGAAUCCCGUAUGUGACUGGCCCGCACCUUCUACGUAGCUCCUUCGACGAGUCGAGUUGUUUGGGAAUGCAGCUCUAAAUGGGAGGUAAAUUUCUUCUAAAGCUAAAUACCGGCCAGAGACCGAUAGCGCACAAGUAGAGUGAUCGAAAGAUGAAAAGCACUUUGGAAAGAGAGUUAAAAAGCACGUGAAAUUGUUGAAAGGGAAGCGCUCACAACCAGACUUCUAGGCAGUGUUCCGCCGGUCUUUUGACCGGUCUACUCUCUGUCUCGAGGCCAACAUCAUCUGGGACCGCCGGAUAAGACCUUAGGAAUGUAGCUCCCCUCGGGGAGUGUUAUAGCCUCUGGUGAUGCGGCGCGUCUCGGGUGAGGUCCGCGCUUCGGCAAGGAUGUUGGCGUAAUGGUUGUCAGCGGCCCGUCUUGAAACACGGACCAAGGAGUCUAACAUCUAUGCGAGUGUUCGGGUGUCAAACCCCUACGCGUAAUGAAAGUGAACGGAGGUGGGAAGCGUAAGCUGCACCAUCGACCGAUCCUGAUGUCCUCGGAUGGAUUUGAGUAAGAGCAUAGCUGUUGGGACCCGAAAGAUGGUGAACUAUGCCUGAAUAGGGUGAAGCCAGAGGAAACUCUGGUGGAGGCUCGCAGCGGUUCUGACGUGCAAAUCGAUCGUCAAAUUUGGGUAUAGGGGCGAAAGACUAA
This 849-nucleotide ribosomal RNA is filed under the name Ramularia endophylla. RNAcentral describes it as "eukaryotic LSU rRNA". It matches the Rfam family "Eukaryotic large subunit ribosomal RNA", at positions 54 to 934 of the family's 3401-position model. The record is from RNAcentral. Lineage: Eukaryota; Fungi; Ascomycota; Dothideomycetes; Mycosphaerellales; Mycosphaerellaceae.